Molecule: small RNA, 143 nt
Filed under: Mytilus galloprovincialis (Mediterranean mussel)
Lineage: Eukaryota; Metazoa; Mollusca; Bivalvia; Mytilida; Mytilidae
Source: RNAcentral
GGCUAUUAUCUAUUUUGAUUUUAUUGAACCAUAAACUAAUUUUUGACUCUUCACAUUUUACAUAAUCCGCUUCGCGGAUUAUUCAAUGUGAAGAGUCAAAAAUUAGUUUUAUGGUUCAAUAAAAUCAAAAUAGAUAAUAGCCA